This 74-nucleotide transfer RNA is filed under the name Crystallibacter permensis. RNAcentral's name for it is "tRNA-Arg". It matches the Rfam family "tRNA". From Rfam's summary of the family: Transfer RNA (tRNA) molecules are approximately 80 nucleotides in length. Their secondary structure includes four short double-helical elements and three loops (D, anti-codon, and T loops). Lineage: Bacteria; Bacillati; Actinomycetota; Actinomycetes; Micrococcales; Micrococcaceae. The record is from RNAcentral. RNAcentral also lists the same sequence under 1 other name.
GCCUCUGUAGCUCAGUUGGAUAGAGCGACCCUCUCCUAAAGGGUAGGUCGUCGGUUCGAUUCCGGCCAGGGGCA